RNAcentral lists this small RNA (294 nucleotides) under Trifolium repens (white clover). RNAcentral's name for it is "Early nodulin 40". It matches the Rfam family "Early nodulin 40". The record is from Rfam by way of RNAcentral. Lineage: Eukaryota; Viridiplantae; Streptophyta; Magnoliopsida; Fabales; Fabaceae.
AUGAAGCUUCUUUGUUGGCAAAAAUCAAUUCAUGGUUCUUAAAACAAACAUGGAGAGAAGUGUAAGAGGGUUGUAUUAAACAAAACCCUUUACACUCUCCCUCCAUUUUCAAAAACAGUUUGCUUUGUGCUUUAGCUAUUGGCUCCUCAUAUCACAAAGAGAUUAUAUGUUUUUUUUUCUGAGUAGCAGAAGCAAAUAAUUAAGCAUUUUUCUCCAAAGGAUCAGAAGUUUUUUGGUUAUAGCAUGGCAAACCGGCAAGUCACAAAAAGGCAAUGGAUUCCUUUUUGGGAUCUU